UGAGUUGCAACGGUCCUUGUAGUCUCAUCCUGCUUUCACAGCGAGCGCAGUUGGCAGCUGCAGGUCGCUCAGAACGAAACAUCGCAGGAUACACUUGUGUUGAGGUAGCCUAGUUGAGAUCCAAGGAGCCCGCGUGUUUUCGAUCAAGUUGGAAAAGAAACAAGAAGAAAAGGUUUCAAAGGAGAGACAUCCCUCUCCACCCCAUCUGUACCCAGCAGGACUGUGUGCCAGUGAUGCCUAGCUGUUGGAUCCUAGAGGCCCACCUUGGCAGUUGAAGGAGAGCUCCGCCCCCAUCACCAUGACAACAUCGCCGCGGGCCGCCGCCGCCCCCCCCCCUGCCUGUGCCCGGCCUGCUGCUCCUCCUCCUCCAACUCCUCCCCAUUGUGCUUACCCAGAAUCCCCUGCUCCCGUCGCCCCCGACGCCCGCGCCGCUCGCUCCCCUGUCCCCCCAGGUGCGUCCAGAGUGCAGCCGGAGAGAGCACCCCGUGGUCUCAGUUCAAGCUCUCAGUCCGUGGACGUGUCAUUUCUCCCACCCUGGAGUAAGAGACUACUCCCAGCUGACCCUUGACCUCACCAGGAAUGAGCUGAUAGUGGGCGCCAGAAACUACCUCUUCAGACUCGACCUCAACAACAUGUCACUGAUACAGGUAGGAAGCAG
Long non-coding RNA from Hypomesus transpacificus, 658 nucleotides. RefSeq lists it as uncharacterized. The transcript has 5 exons. Lineage: Eukaryota; Metazoa; Chordata; Actinopteri; Osmeriformes; Osmeridae. The record is from RefSeq and is a predicted model, not a curated record.